This 492-nucleotide ribosomal RNA is filed under the name uncultured bacterium. RNAcentral's name for it is "partial 16S ribosomal RNA". It matches the Rfam family "Bacterial small subunit ribosomal RNA", at positions 29 to 507 of the family's 1533-position model. The record is from RNAcentral.
AGUGAACGCUGGCGGUAGGCCUAACACAUGCGAGUCGAACGGCAGCACAGUAAGAGCUUGCUCUUACGGGUGGCGAGUGGCGGACGGGUGAGGAAUACAUCGGAAUCUACUUUUUCGUGGGGGAUAACGUAGGGAAACUUACGCUAAUACCGCAUACGACCUACGGGUGAAAGCAGGGGAUCUUCGGACCUUGCGCGAUUGAAUGAGCCGAUGUCGGAUUAGCUAGUUGGCGGGGUAAAGGCCCACCAAGGCGACGAUCCGUAGCUGGUCUGAGAGGAUGAUCAGCCACACUGGAACUGAGACACGGUCCAGACUCCUACGGGAGGCAGCAGUGGGGAAUAUUGGACAAUGGGCGCAAGCCUGAUCCAGCCACGCCGCGUGGGUGAAGAAGGCCUUCGGGUUGUAAAGCCCUUUUGUUGGGAAAGAAAAGCAGCAGGUUAAUACCCCGCUGUUCUGACGGUACCCAAAGAAUAAGCACCGGCUAACUUCGUG